AUUGAACGCUGGCGGCAUGCCUUACACAUGCAAGUCGAACGGCAGCGCGGGGGCAACCCUGGCGGCGAGUGGCGAACGGGUGAGUAACACAUCGGAACGUGCCCAGUAGUGGGGGAUAGCCCGGCGAAAGCCGGAUUAAUACCGCACACGACCUGAGGGUGAAAGCGGGGGACCGCAAGGCCUCGCGCUAUUGGAGCGGCCGAUGUCAGAUUAGGUAGUUGGUGGGGUAAGGGCCUACCAAGCCGACGAUCUGUAGCUGGUCUGAGAGGACGACCAGCCACACUGGGACUGAGACACGGCCCANACUCCUACGGGAGGCAGCAGUGGGGAAUUUUGGACAAUGGGGGCAACCCUGAUCCAGCCAUGCCGCGUGCGGGAAGAAGGCCUUCGGGUUGUAAACCGCUUUUGUCGGGGAAGAAAUCCUCUGGGUUAAUACCCUGGGGGGAUGACGGUACCCGAAGAAUAAGCACCGGCUAACUACGUGCCAGCAGCCGCGGUAAUACGUAGGGUGCGAGCGUUAAUCGGAAUUACUGGGCGUAAAGCGUGCGCAGGCGGUUGUGCAAGACAGAUGUGAAAUCCCCGGGCUUAACCUGGGAACUGCAUUUGUGACUGCACGGCUGGAGUACGGCAGAGGGGGAUGGAAUUCCGCGUGUAGCAGUGAAAUGCGUAGAUAUGCGGAGGAACACCGAUGGCGAAGGCAGUCCCCUGGGCCUGUACUGACGCUCAUGCACGAAAGCGUGGGGAGCAAACAGGAUCAGAUACCCUGGUAGUCCACGCCCUAAACGAUGUCAACUGGUUGUUGGGAAGGUCCCUUCUCAGUAACGUAGCUAACGCGUGAAGUUGACCGCCUGGGGAGUACGGCCGCAAGGUUGAAACUCAAAGGAAUUGACGGGGACCCGCACAAGCGGUGGAUGAUGUGGUUUAAUUCGAUGCAACGCGAAGAACCUUACCUACCCUUGACAUGCCUGGAACCCUGCAGAGAUGUGGGGGUGCCCGAAAGGGAGCCAGGACACAGGUGCUGCAUGGCCGUCGUCAGCUCGUGUCGUGAGAUGUUGGGUUAAGUCCCGCAACGAGCGCAACCCUUGCCAUUAGUUGCUACGAAAGGGCACUCUAAUGGGACUGCCGGUGACAAACCGGAGGAAGGUGGGGAUGACGUCAGGUCCUCAUGGCCCUUAUGGGUAGGGCUACACACGUCAUACAAUGGCCGGUACAGAGGGCAGCCAACCCGCGAGGGGGAGCCAAUCCCAGAAAACCGGUCGUAGUCCGGAUCGCAGUCUGCAACUCGACUGCGUGAAGUCGGAAUCGCUAGUAAUCGCGGAUCAGCUUGCCGCGGUGAAUACGUUCCCGGGUCUUGUACACACCGCCCGUCACACCAUGGGAGCGGGUUCUGCCAGAAGUAGUUAGCCUAACCGCAAGGAGGGCGAUUACCACGGCAGGGUUCGUGACUGGGGUG
This 1453-nucleotide ribosomal RNA is filed under the name uncultured soil bacterium. RNAcentral describes it as "SSU rRNA". It matches the Rfam family "Bacterial small subunit ribosomal RNA". The record is from RNAcentral.